CUUGCGGCUAUAUCACGUUGAAAUACCGGUUACCGUAGGAGCACCGAAGUUAAGCAACGUCGAGCCUGCUCAAUACCUAGAUGGGUGACCACUUCGAAAUACGAAGUACU
This is a non-coding RNA of Acanthosepion pharaonis, 110 nucleotides long. Lineage: Eukaryota; Metazoa; Mollusca; Cephalopoda; Sepiida; Sepiidae. The record is from the annotation of a GenBank genome assembly.